RNAcentral lists this ribosomal RNA (484 nucleotides) under uncultured bacterium. RNAcentral describes it as "partial 16S ribosomal RNA". It matches the Rfam family "Bacterial small subunit ribosomal RNA", at positions 30 to 507 of the family's 1533-position model. The record is from RNAcentral.
AUUGAACGCUGGCGGCAGGCCUAACACAUGCAAGUCGAGCGGAUGAAGGGAGCUUGCUCCUGGAUUCAGCGGCGGACGGGUGAGUAAUGCCUAGGAAUCUGCCUGGUAGAGGGGGAUAACGUCCGGAAACGGGCGCUAAUACCGCAUACGUCCUGAGGGAGAAAGUGGGGGAUCUUCGGACCUCACGCUAUCAGAUGAGCCUAGGUCGGAUUAGCUAGUUGGUGGGGUAAAGGCCUACCAAGGCGACGAUCCGUAACUGGUCUGAGAGGAUGAUCAGUCACACUGGAACUGAGACACGGUCCAGACUCCUACGGGAGGCAGCAGUGGGGAAUAUUAGACAGUGGGCGAAAGCCUGAUCCAACCGUGCCGCGUGUGUGAAGAAGGUCUUCGGAUUGUAAAGCACUUUUAGUUGGGAGGAAGGGCAGUAAGUUGAUACCUUGCUGUUUUGACGUUACCAACAGAAUAAGCACCGGCUAACUACGUG